This 501-nucleotide ribosomal RNA is filed under the name uncultured bacterium. RNAcentral describes it as "partial 16S ribosomal RNA". It matches the Rfam family "Bacterial small subunit ribosomal RNA", at positions 30 to 523 of the family's 1533-position model. The record is from RNAcentral.
AUUGAACGCUGGCGGCAGGCUUAACACAUGCAAGUCGAGCGGGGGAAGGUAGCUUGCUACUGGACCUAGCGGCGGACGGGUGAGUAAUGCUUAGGAAUCUGCCUAUUAGUGGGGGACAACAUCUCGAAAGGGAUGCUAAUACCGCAUACGUCCUACGGGAGAAAGCAGGGGAUCUUCGGACCUUGCGCUAAUAGAUGAGCCUAAGUCGGAUUAGCUAGUGGGUGGGGUAAAGGCCUACCAAGGCGACGAUCUGUAGCGGGUCUGAGAGGAUGAUCCGCCACACUGGGACUGAGACACGGCCCAGACUCCGACGGGAGGCAGCAGUGGGGAGUAGUGGACAAUGGGGGGAACCCUGAUCCAGCCAUGCCGCGUGUGUGAAGAAGGCCUUAUGGUUGUAAAGCACUUUAAGCGAGGAGGAGGCUACUUUAGUUAAUACCUAGAGAUAGUGGACGUUACUCGCAGAAUAAGCACCGGCUAACUCUGUGCCAGCAGCCGCCGUAA